AACGCGAAGAACCUUACCAAAUCUUGACAUCGUACUGACCGGUCUUUAAUCGGGCCUUUCCUUCGGGACAGUACAGACAGGUGGUGCAUGGUUGUCGUCAGCUCGUGUCGUGAGAUGUUGGGUUAAGUCCCGCAACGAGCGCAACCCUUAUCUUUAGUAGCCAGCAAGUUAGGUUGGGCACUCUAGAGAGACUGCCAGGGAUAACCUGGAGGAAGGUGGGGAUGACGUCAAAUCAUCAUGCCCCUUAUGAUUUGGGCUACACACGUGCUACAAUGGCGUAAACAAAGGGAAGCGAUCACGUGAGUGUCAGCAAAUCCCAAAAAUAACGUCUCAGUUCGGAUUGUAGUCUGCAACUCGACUACAUGAAGCUGGAAUCGCUAGUAAUCGCGAAUCAGAAUGUCGCGGUGAAUACGUUCCCGGGUCUUGUACACACCG
This 435-nucleotide ribosomal RNA is filed under the name uncultured bacterium. RNAcentral's name for it is "bacterial SSU rRNA". It matches the Rfam family "Bacterial small subunit ribosomal RNA", at positions 958 to 1392 of the family's 1533-position model. The record is from RNAcentral.